GUAGCAAUACUUUGGUGGCGACCGGCGCACGGGUGAGUAACGCGUAUGCAACCCACUUAUCAGAGGGGAAUAACCCGGCGAAAGUCGGACUAAUACCGCAUAAAACAGGGACACCGCAUGGUGAUAUUUGUUAAAGAACUUCGCUGAUAGAUGGGCAUGCGUUCCAUUAGGUAGUUGGUGAGGUAACGGCUCACCAAGCCGACGAUGGAUAGGGGAACUGAGAGGUUGGUCCCCCACACUGGUACUGAGACACGGACCAGACUCCUACGGGAGGCAGCAGUGAGGAAUAUUGGUCAAUGGGCGAGAGCCUGAACCAGCCAAGUCGCGUGAAGGAAGAAGGAUCUAUGGUUCGUAAACUUCUUUUGCAGGGGAAUAAAGUGCAGGACGUGUCCUGUUUUGUAUGUACCCUGAGAAUAAGGAUCGGCUAACUCCGUGCCAGCAGCCGCGGUAAUACGGAGGAUCCGAGCGUUAUCCGGAUUUAUUGGGUUUAAAGGGUGCGUAGGUGGUUUGAUAAGUCAGCGGUGAAAGUUUGCAGCUUAACUGUAAAAAUGCCGUUGAAACUGUCGGACUUGAGUGUAAAUGAGGUAGGCGGAAUGCGUGGUGUAGCGGUGAAAUGCUUAGAUAUCACGAAGAACUCCGAUUG
RNAcentral lists this ribosomal RNA (643 nucleotides) under uncultured Bacteroidales bacterium. RNAcentral's name for it is "bacterial SSU rRNA". It matches the Rfam family "Bacterial small subunit ribosomal RNA", at positions 76 to 715 of the family's 1533-position model. The record is from RNAcentral. Lineage: Bacteria; Pseudomonadati; Bacteroidota; Bacteroidia; Bacteroidales.